AUGGCUUCUUAGCCAAUCAUUGUUCAUGUCGAGGGGAUAAAAGUAGGCCGUGCCCCUCCUCCUGAUCUCUCGCUUCUUGCCUUUUCGGUCCGCCUACUCCCGGGCUGUUGCGUGCGCCGCUCACCUCAGCACAGAUCCGAUGUCUCCAUCGCGGUCGAGGCGAUAUUUUAUUUGGGGUUGUCUACCGCCGUCGACCGGAGCAUAGAGCUGAAGGCUGACGGUGGUGGUGAUCCCUUGUGUGUGCGUGAGCUUCGUUCAAGAUUUUCUUUGUGUGCACGUCACGUUUUUGCUGUGUGAGUGGGGUGCUCUCCUUUUUUUUGGACGUCACUUUCCCCUGCCGACCCCUCCUCCAGCCGGCUACUGUUGAAACAUGGCCGUUCAAUAUGUAAGAAGAGGAAGAGAAGAGGACCCACUCCCUCUAUAGAUAUAAACAGCUCAUUCUAAGGUAACAAAAACACAAUGAUUCUUAUUUUCAGGUAAUGAUACACUAAUGAAAACAUACCUGAAUGAAUACAUACGUGAGGCGGCUGUGGCAGAGGCAGAGCGGCGGCUGUGGCAGAGGCAGAGCGGGUCGUUCCUUAAUCAGAAGGUUGAAGGUUCAAUCCCCGGCUCCUGGUGCCACAUGUCGAAGUAUCCUUGAGCAAGAUGCUGAACCCCAAAUUGCUCCCGAUGCUGUGCAUUGGUGUUUGAAUGUGUAUGAAUGUUUCUGUCCGAUGGACUUUGCCAUCGCUGUGUGAAUGUGUGUGAAAGGGUGAAUGUGGCACGUAGUGUAAAAGCGCUUUGACUGGUCGGAAGACUAGAAAGGCGCUAUACAAGUACAGGUCCAUUUACCAUGAAUAUUAUAUUCCAUUUCUGUCAAUAGAGCCUCCAAAAUUUUGCACACUGGACCUUGAAGUUAUCACAACCUGACUUUAGUUCUGUUAAGUUGACCUCUUUUGUGCUCCCAGAACUUUGUUGUAUGUUUUCAAAAUGUUGGGGCGAAUAAAACCCCUUUUGAAAAUUCACCUGUGACUCCUCACGCCUGCCAGCUCAGUCCCACGUGGCUUUAAUCAAUGGCAGCAAUAUCUUUUGUGAACCAGUGUGCACUCGCUGUACUCGGCAGAUACCCAUCAC
Long non-coding RNA from Dicentrarchus labrax (European seabass), 1113 nucleotides. RefSeq lists it as uncharacterized. The record is from RefSeq and is a predicted model, not a curated record. The transcript is spliced from 4 exons. Lineage: Eukaryota; Metazoa; Chordata; Actinopteri; Moronidae.